RNAcentral lists this long non-coding RNA (2743 nucleotides) under Gallus gallus (chicken). RNAcentral describes it as "lncRNA (ENSGALG00010004493.1)". The record is from RNAcentral. Lineage: Eukaryota; Metazoa; Chordata; Aves; Galliformes; Phasianidae.
CCCCCCCCAAGUGUCUCCAAUUGAGGAGCACGUCAAACGCAAGGAAGGAAAAGCUAAUUUCCACAGCCCGCGUAUCGAUAUUAGCUCGCUUACUGCUUUCAUUUUAGCCACACCCACCUUUAUGUAAUUAUAAAAUAUGGGAACGGUACAGCUCGAGAAAUAAGAAAGCCAAAAGGAGCGGCGGUGCGACGGAGCCCAGCGGGCGCAGGGCGCGGGCUUUCAUUUCAAUGAGAAACGGGAACGAAGCGCCGGCUGCGGACCGACGCCGGGAGAGCGGGGUGGAAAAUGCCCCCGCACCUGUGCGGCACCGAGCGGGGCAGGACGCCGAGCUCCUGAAAGCGAAAGUCGGUGCCGGUGGGCGGACGGCCGCCGGGUGCCGCCGCUCCUCGAGCCCUCAUCCCCGCCGAGAGCGCGGCCCGACGAGGCGGCCCGGCGCGCAUUCCCAUGGUGGCCGCUAAAAACGCUUCCCGAGCCGCGACGCGAAUGUACGGAAACGAAGGCUGCGUUGCGGCGGAGCCUCCGAGAUCGCGAUGCCGGCGAGAGCCCGCCGCGUUCGCGUUCGGCGGCUAUCGGGGCGGCGAGGGGACAACCGGCGGAGCGGCUCCGCCCGGGAUAAAAAGCGGCGCUGGGAAAGUGCCGAGCGCGGGGCGCGCACCGAGGAGCCGAGCGAAGCGGCGGGGAUCCCUGCGUGACACGCCAAAUACCUUCAGCCCCGCGCCGGAGGGAGGGAGGGAGGGACGGAGGGAAAAGGGAGAGGCGAACUUUUGCGUUUCGCUUUAAGGCGCCGCCGCGCUCCGCUCCCGCAGCGCUGCCCGCCCCCGGCGCGGCACAGCACAGCACGGCACGGCACGGCGCGGGGCGAUGCGAUGCGCGGGGCCGAACCCGGCCGCAUCCCGGCGGCUCCGAACCGCGGAAGGAGAGAGAAACGGAACGGAGCGGGGAGGGGGGGUGGGGGGGGGGGUGCGGCGAGAUGCGCGGCGGUGUCACGGAGCGCCGCUCGGCGCCUAUCGCGAUCCGCCGAGGGGUGACAUGGAAACAGGCACCAAAAAAUAGCAGAGCCAAUGACGAACGGCGGCCGGGUGACAGAGCGGAGCGCUCCGGAGGCGGAGAGGAGGAGCAGAGCAGUUGCCAAGUGAUCUUCUCCACAGCACCCACGAACUUUGGCCUUACACUGAAGAGGACUCGUCAAAUGCUUUGGGAGAUACAACACAGAAUUGGAAGAGAAGCAUGGAUCUACCUGAAGGGCAGUUCGCUGCAUUCUUGGUGUGUGGAGGAACGGGUCCCGUGCUCACUGUUGUUACUCCCACAUAGGCGGACUCUGUAACUGAUUAUAUGUGGGUAGGGCCCUAUUGAAAUUAAGGAGAUUCUGCAGUAGUGCGGGGUUCUGUUUGUGUGACCCUACUGUGCCUUCUUACUGUGAAUUCUGUCAGUGUAUCAUGGGUUGUGCUGGAACCUGCCUUUUGGGAUAAUGUAAGUUCUGCCUUUCCCCCAAAUGUACUUUAGACGUGAAAUAAUCAUUAAAAAAAAAGUUUUGAAUUAGAAAAUAAAUAUAAUUUACAUGCGUUCUUUUAAUUAUGUUUUUUUGGCAGUACCAAAUAAUAUAUUCCUCAAAACUUCUUAAUGGCACUGAGGCUUUGUGGAUAGUUGGUCACAUGAUGAGAAAAUUCAGCUGUAAGUACACUGAAAUGAUUGAAUUUUUCAAUAGUUAGUCUUUGCUGAUGUUGACAGACUAAUAAUGAUAAAAGGGUUAAUCAAGAGGUGUGAUUUAUGUGUGACUCCGGUUCUUUUUAGAAAAUCCAUACAAUAUAUCCAUUAAGGAUAUCAUUAUUCUUGGAUAAUUCACCACGUGAACCCGGAGUCCUUCAGCACUGCUGUUAGGUUGUAGAAAGCUACGUGUGGGAUACACAAAAAGAGGAAAUAACAUUACAUUCAUGGACUAUUUUAAGACCUGGGAUUAACUGCUUAACUUUGAAAACAUUAAAAAAAAGAGAGAGAGAGAAAACAUGGCAAGACGAACAAUAUUAGAACAUGAUCUGCUAGCAUUCAGUUGGAUACUGUCAUUUAAGUCACUCAGAUGUAGAGAGACAAAACAAACGAUGUGCAGAUUCUGCAAGGGGUUCAGCUCCUCUGUUUCAGGAAAUGGCAUGAAACAAACAAAAUGCUUGAAGCUGUCCACUUCUCUCUGAGCCUAAUGUCUGAACUGUCAGAGCUGGCAGUUCCUGUUUUGAGGGAAAAAAAGUCAUUUUAAGGCUUCUCUGAAAAGAGAUUCAGAAAAAUACAGCAGAUAGCACAGGAAAUAAUUUGGAGAUUCCUGGGACAAACUAUCUUUGAUUAAGAAAGCAAAGAGACUAGAUUCUCCAAAGGCAGGCAGCUGGAAAUAAAUGUGAAGAAAGACAGCCACCGCAGCAUUUAAAGCACUUCUUUGAUCUGUUAUCUUACAUCCUUUGUUUUAUUUUUCUUGGUCCAGAAUAUUUCGGCUUUAUUCAGACAAAACUCAUAUUGAAAACAGUGCAGAAUGUGACACGCGUUUACCACAAACUAGUAACUGUGUAAUCAUCAAAAGGGACUCCACUGAAUAUUUCAGCUAGCAGCAUCCUUCUGCCUCUGAUUCAGAAGGUGCUGUGAUCUGUUUUGAGGCAAGGGAGAGGGAUGUGGGCUUUGAGUCAAACCUUCCUUCUGCUUCUGCCUGGUUCUCAAAGCAAACAAUACUUACGCUUCUCUGUCCAUCUAUAUGGCUGCUCAU